CCUACGGGAGGCAGCAGUGGGGAAUAUUGCACAAUGGGGGAAACCCUGAUGCAGCGACGCCGCGUGAGUGAAGAAGUAAUUCGUUAUGUAAAGCUCUAUCAGCAGGGAAGAAAAUGACGGUACCUGAGUAAGAAGCCCCGGCUAACUACGUGCCAGCAGCCGCGGUAAUACGGAGGGGGCAAGCGUGAUCCGGAUUUACUGGGUGGAAAGGGAGCGUAGACGGCAGUGCAAGUCUGGAAUGAAAGGCGGGGGCUCAACCCCCGGACUGCUCUGGAAACUGUACGGCUGGAGUGCAGGAGAGGUAAGUGGAAUUCCUAGUGUAGCGGUGAAAUGCGUAGAUAUUAGGAGGAACACCAGUGGCGAAGGCGGCUUACUGGACUGUAACUGACGUUGAGGCUCGAAAGCGUGGGGAGCAAACAGGAUUAGAUACCCGAGUAGUC
This 440-nucleotide ribosomal RNA is filed under the name uncultured bacterium. RNAcentral's name for it is "partial 16S ribosomal RNA". It matches the Rfam family "Bacterial small subunit ribosomal RNA", at positions 338 to 795 of the family's 1533-position model. The record is from RNAcentral.